GUCCCUGUAGCGCAAUGGAAAACGUGUUUGACUUCUAAUCGAAAUAUCGUGGGCUCGAAUUCCACCUGGGAUG
This 73-nucleotide transfer RNA is filed under the name Trichonephila clavipes. It matches the Rfam family "tRNA". Rfam says of the family: Transfer RNA (tRNA) molecules are approximately 80 nucleotides in length. Their secondary structure includes four short double-helical elements and three loops (D, anti-codon, and T loops). Further hydrogen bonds mediate the characteristic L-shaped molecular structure. tRNAs have two regions of fundamental functional importance: the anti-codon, which is responsible for specific mRNA codon recognition, and the 3' end, to which the tRNAs corresponding amino acid is attached (by aminoacyl-tRNA synthetases). tRNAs cope with the degeneracy of the genetic code in two manners: having more than one tRNA (with a specific anti-codon) for a particular amino acid; and 'wobble' base-pairing, i.e. permitting non-standard base-pairing at the 3rd anti-codon position. The record is from Rfam by way of RNAcentral. Lineage: Eukaryota; Metazoa; Arthropoda; Arachnida; Araneae; Nephilidae.